GAGUUUGAUCGUGGCUCAGGAUGAACGCUAGCUACAGGCUUAACACAUGCAAGUCGAGGGGCAGCAUGGUCUUAGCUUGCUAAGGCCGAUGGCGACCGGCGCACGGGUGAGUAGCACGUAUCCAACCUGCCGUCUACUCUUGGACAGCCUUCUGAAAGGAAGAUUAAUACAAGAUGGCAUCAUGAGUCCGCAUGUUCACAUGAUUAAAUGUAUUCCGGUAGACGAUGGGGAUGCGUUCCAUUAGAUAGUAGGCGGGGUAACGGCCCACCUAGUCUUCGAUGGAUAGGGGUUCUGAGAGGAAGGUCCCCCAAUUGGAACUGAGACACGGUCCAAACUCCUACGGGAGCAGCAGUGAGGAAUAUUGGUCAAUGGGCGUAAGCCUGAACCAGCCAAGUCGCGUGAGGGAUGAAGGUUC
This 415-nucleotide ribosomal RNA is filed under the name uncultured bacterium. RNAcentral's name for it is "bacterial SSU rRNA". It matches the Rfam family "Bacterial small subunit ribosomal RNA", at positions 9 to 417 of the family's 1533-position model. The record is from RNAcentral.